RNAcentral lists this ribosomal RNA (468 nucleotides) under uncultured bacterium. RNAcentral's name for it is "partial 16S ribosomal RNA". It matches the Rfam family "Bacterial small subunit ribosomal RNA", at positions 28 to 507 of the family's 1533-position model. The record is from RNAcentral.
GACGAACGCUGGCGGCGUGCUUAACACAUGCAAGUCGAACGGAAAGGCCCUGCUUUUGUGGGGUGCUCGAGUGGCGAACGGGUGAGUAACACGUGAGUAACCUGCCCUUGACUUUGGGAUAACUUCAGGAAACUGGGGCUAAUACCGGGUAGGAGCUCCUGCUGCAUGGUGGGGGUUGGAAAGUUUCGGCGGUUGGGGAUGGACUCGCGGCUUAUCAGCUUGUUGGUGGGGUAGUGGCUUACCAAGGCUUUGACGGGUAGCCGGCCUGAGAGGGUGACCGGCCACAUUGAGACUGAGAUACGGCCCAGACUCCUACGGGAGGCAGCAGUGGGGAAUAUUGCACAAUGGGCGGAAGCCUGAUGCAGCAACGCCGCGUGCGGGAUGACGGCCUUCGGGUUGUAAACCGCUUUCGCCUGUGACGAAGCGUGAGUGACGGUAAUGGGUAAAGAAGCACCGGCUAACUACGUG